This is a long non-coding RNA of Perognathus longimembris pacificus (Pacific pocket mouse), 231 nucleotides long. RefSeq lists it as uncharacterized. Lineage: Eukaryota; Metazoa; Chordata; Mammalia; Rodentia; Heteromyidae. The record is from RefSeq and is a predicted model, not a curated record. The transcript has 3 exons.
ACUCUCCACCAGGGUCAGCUUCAAAUUCCAAUCAUCAGAUCUCAGCCUCCUAAGAAAGUGGGAUUACAGCUGUAAACCACCAGUGCCCAGCUCAAAGUACUUUUUUUUUUUUUAAAGUACUUUCUGAAACCUUUCAAACUUUAGAGUAGUUUCAGGUAUGCAGGACUGCUUUAAACUAAUCUGAAUUAAAAAUAAAUCAUUAUUGUAGAUCCUAGUAGUGUGGUGGAAAUA